Molecule: small nuclear RNA, 194 nt
Organism: Phragmites australis (common reed)
Lineage: Eukaryota; Viridiplantae; Streptophyta; Magnoliopsida; Poales; Poaceae
Product: U2 spliceosomal RNA
Exons: 1
Source: RefSeq, a predicted model, not a curated record
UUCCUUUUCUCGGUCUUUUGGCUAACAUCAGGUGUAGUAUAUGUGUUCUUAUAAUUUUAAUAUAUGAUAAGUAGGUUAUUUGCCUACUUUGAUAUUAGAUUUUUUUUUUAGGAGAAUCCAUCAUAGUGGCUUAACAUCGAGGCCCUCACAUGUCACUAGGCGUUGCAAUACAGCCCAACCAAAACAAAUUAAAG